GCUCAAUCCAGCCAAAUUGGAGGAGUAUCUGGGACCAAAGUAGUGCUGCAUGCAACUGAGAAAGAUGGAAAAUCCAAGAUGGAGAGGGAAGCGACUCAUCAAGCUGCACAAUGAGUUAUCUGCAGAGCCAGGAGUAGAGGCCAGAGUCCUGACUGCCAAACCCAACUGUCACAAACUAAAAAAAAAACAACAACGAGGAACCCACUUCAUCGGGUUCUAGCCCACGGAAGCUUAUGCCCAAAUAAAUUGGUUAGUCUCUAAGGUGCCACAAGGACUCCUCAUUGUUUUUGCUGAUGCAGACUAACACGGCUACCACUCUGAAACUACACAAACUGCAUCUCUUGAUUCUUGCUUUUCUUGUUCUGAAGCCAACAAUCUGCAUGGUGACCUGGGAUCCCACACGGGCCUGGCUGGGCAGAUUAGAAUCCGUUCAGACCCCACUGUCUCUCGUAUACCUCAUCACACGAGAUGAUGCAACAAUGCUGUGAUGUUAACUGCUCAUCUCUGACAUACUUCACCAAAGGAGAAGAUGCCAUAGUACCUGGAUGUUAUCAUUUCCUGCCUAGUCACUGCUCAGCAGCCCCACAGAUGAGCAGAGAAAGGUGAGCUUGGAGAAGCCAGUAUAAGUUCACUCAAUAACCCACUGGAGUCUGAAAGGACAGGGAUAUGGAGAAAGACUGGAGGGACUGCAGAGAGAGGGUGAAAUGACAAGAGACUAGCGUACAGGGCGGUGCCAUGUGCAGUAGAGAGAAAACAAGUGAUUGCCCAGGAAGAGGAAGAGGGAUGGGAAGAGAAUCCCUGGAGGAGAAGCUGUGAGACACUGUGUGAAAGACGACAGAGAAUCAUAAUGGAUCAUGCUGAAGUGAAAAAGGAAAAGAACUACUGCAAGGGAUCACACUGAGGAGGAAGAGAAGAGACAGCAAGAAAUUGCACAGGGGAGGAGAACAGAGCAUGAGAGAAUGCACUGAGGAGGAGGAGGAAGGACCGUGAGAGAUUGUUUCGAGAAGGAGGAGAAACCACAAGGGAUCACACUGAGGAGGAAAAGAGGGACCACAAGAGAUCGUGCAGAGGAGUAGGAGGAGGCAGCACUGCUGCUCAGAAGAAGAGGGAUGAGCAUGAAGGUCUGCUGACGACACCCUAAAAAACAUGGAUUGCCUCCUUGGUGUGGUAUAUCUGCUGAAGGAAGUGAUCCAGUCUUAUCUACAAGUUGUCAUCGGAAUCUGUCUGGUAGCAUUUAGCUGCAGUCUUGGCUUUCUUGUGUCAGGUGGGGGUGUUUCCUACAUCAAAGUGGAAGUAAGAAUGCUGCCCACAACUCACAGACAAAUUGAGGAGCUCAGAACAAACACAAAGUUAAGCUUAAAUUUGGUGCUUUGUCUUCACAUAUUACAUUUUGCAGCUCCCAAGGGUCUUCAUGGAAUCCAGUCAUAUAUUAGGUAUAGUACAGACAGGCGGUCUCUUACUCCUUUCGACUCCAAUGGCACUUUAUUCUUGGGGAGAGGGUAAUAUUUUAAUAUUGGGUUUUGUUGCAAAUUUAAUCACUCUUAGCUUCUAAAGAGCCAAGUUUGAAGGCGACAGUUAAUUAUGAGGAGCUGAUUACCAGUCAGGGCAAAGAAAUAACAGAAUUUGAAAACAGGAUCUUGGAAAGACUAGAAAAAUGGUCUGGAAACAAAACAAGACUCAACCUGGAAAAAUAAGCCAAACUUAUGCCUUUGGGUACAAUUAUCCGAAAUACACAACAGCAAUGGGAGAGAGUAAAGAGAUGAGCAACAAAAGUGGUUAAGGAGUUGAUUUACAAGGUGAGAUGAAAACAAUUAAAUAGUAUGUCCAAUUUGGCUAAGAAACUGCAAGAGGAAGGGAAGACAUAAGAGUCUACAAAUAUUUGAAGGGUGUAUACAUCAAAGAGAGAACAGGAUUAUUUAGCAUAUUCAAAAGAGUAAGUAAUGCAUAAAGUAAAUAACAAGUAGGAGUAAUGGUAUGACAUUUUAUAAGUGGAAACUUAGGCAGAAGAGCAGGAAAAGCUUCCUGACAGAGAUGUAUUAGCAUCUGGAAUCAUCCCCCAAAGGAAGUCCUGGAAGCCUCAUCACUUGGCACAUAUAAGCUGGACUGGAUAAAACUGCAAGUACUGGAAGGGCCUGAUCCAAAGCCACUGAAGUCAAUGGAAAGUCUCCCCAUUGAGUUCUAUGGGGUUUGGAUCAGACCCUAAAUAUCAAGCAGGGAACAAUCCUGCAAUGGAGAGAUGAACUGUCAGUAAGUGACUUUACAAAAAGGAUCCAGGGUGGUAGUAGCCUGCACCAAAUAAAAAGGAAAACAAGUGCAAAAUUAAGAAGAAAAUAAGGCAUCCUGCUGCUUUAAAGCAACACGGCUGUCUGUGAAGAGCUGCUCUGCUUGGGCCAACAGAGAAAGAGAGAGAGAGAGUCAGGAGGGUUGAGGUUUUCAUUAGCCCCUGGGAGAAUCAUGGGAGAAUCAAUUGCCAAACAAAGACAACUUCACUUUACCCAGGGCAGGAUAUGUGUGGGUGAGAGAGAGAGAGAGAAUGUGUGUGAGAGAGAAUGUGCACUGUAUUUUUAAAUGUGCAAGAAGCCGAGCUGGAGAAGGCUGGAGCCAAGCAGAGGGCAAGGCAGAAUAGCUACACAGUUAAUACUGUUUUCCUUAUUCUAAUAAAGUUCCUUGUUCAGUUUUAGAAGUAACCAACACACUGUGAUUUUUGUUCACCAUAAAAAUGGACAGUGCACUGCUUCCUUCCCAAGAGCUCCCUAGUCUACCACCCCUUUCUAUUAAUACCCUUUCUUGGGCUGAGCAGUGUGAGACAGACCUUCUGCCUGGUUUUCAUUGCAUGCAAUUAACCCCCUCCCUGCCUAUCUGUGUGAGGUAUACACACUCCAUCACCACUGUUGAAUAGGGAUAUUCUGUCUCCAGAUUCUAUGGGCCAAAAUCUGUUAUCAGCUGCACCGGUGUGAAUGUGGAAUCGUUCCACUGACUUCAGUGGAGUAACUGCAUUCACACUGUAUAAGAGAACUGAAUUUGCGUCUAUGAUUCUGUGAAACUUUCCUCUCUGACAAAUAAAUAUUUAAAUUAUAUUUUUAAUUAAAAAAAAAUUAUCAGUUGAAAGUGUGUGUGUGUGUGUGUGUGUGAGUACCCCUUCCCAUACAUCCACAAAUUUCUGCAAGUAAUCAUGGAAUUUGCCUUCCAUCAGUCAUCAUUCUGCUUGUAUGCAUACUGUAUCCCUUUACUCUUACCUUUUGUCUGUACUGUCUGUUUAGAUUGUAAACUCUUUGGGGGAAAGGACAUUCAGUCUCUAAUAAACCCAUAUAAAACAAUUUAAAAUGAAGUUAAGGUUGACAGUAUAUUUUAGUAAUUUAAAGGCAAAAAACAUUAUGGGGAUGUUGCAAUUAUUCCCAAACCAAACAUUACAAGCCUAGGAAAUUCAGAGUUAAAGUUACACUUAAAAAAAAUCCAAAAAGGCUAAGGUACAGAAAUGCACAGCCAAGGUACACAAACAAUCUUAACUCUGCCCUGCAGUGACACACAACCACACCAUUGUGAUCAGGAGUGAAAGUGAGCCGGUACGGGCCGGUACUCCGUACUGGUAAGAACCCGCACCGGACCAUACCCAGCCCGUAUUAAAGUGCUGCCGCGGCAGCGCUUUAAUGUCCCUGCCCCUUUUGCCUCCCCUGUCGGGGGCCCUGCCGGUAGGGUCCAUACCGGCAGGGCUGCCAAUGGGGGGUGGGGGGAGGGAGCCGCAGCAACGUUAAAGCGCUGCUGUGGCAAAGGACCCUGCAGCACUUUAACGUCCCUGCCCCUUCCCCCCCCGCCCAUCAGUGGCCAGGGGGUAGAGGGGCAAAGGGAGCAGCUGCCCUGGAGCCGGCGAUUUAAAAGGGCCCAGGGCUCCAGGCCCUUUAAAUCAACAUGGGAGCCCCGGGCAGCGCGGGCCAAGGGCUGGCUGGGGGAUGCUGACCCACAGCCCCGCCCCUUCCGCCCAAGGCCCCACCCCUUCCGGGGGCCAGAGCCAGCCUGCCCCCGUACCAGUAAGUGUCCUCAGUUACUUUCACCCUGAUUAUGAUUAAAGCAGUUUAGUGUUUGUUGUCCUCAAUUAGAUCAGCCGAUUAUUAAAGACACAGAUUUUUUUUCCAUACUUUCCCCCCCGUUCAGAGUGUCACUACAGAGCAGAGUUAAGGUUGUGAUACUUGUCAUGGAACAAAGAAAAGGCCCUUGUCUGGCCUAAGGUUAUUUCCCCCACUGAAUUUCAAAGGACUCCUGCAAGCUAUGGCAAUAGUAGAGCUUCUCAAUAAGACUGCACAAAUUGUAACAUGGAAAGUGUUAAUCGGUCUACAUAUAGGUGUUGUUCCCUGCUCACUCUAAUGAUAAGUCACAUGCCUGAUUAAAUAGUGCAGGAUGGAUGAACCAAUCGGACUGAAAUAAAAAAAUACUGAACCUUCAUCUAAGGUCAAAGGCCCAACUACUCUACACAAAAUCCUUGUUAGCUGAACUUUUUUUUAAAAAGUGGGUUUUAAAAAGCCCUAAUGUAGUAUUGAAAAUUGCAUUCAUAUACAUCAGAAUCCGGCUUUUUCCCAUAUACAAGUCUCACACAAGUUUUAAAUGUUUCGGUCCCAUUUAUACUACAAAUGUUCCACAACAGUCCAGCUGGCAGAGGCUGCUGAAGCACCAUGUUGAUUCAGCACAUCCCUGGGUGGUCUGAGCUCUAGCCAUGCCCACUUACUUUUGGGGCUGGCUUGGCCCACUGCAAGCCCCUCUAGUGCAAGAGAUGAUUUAUAGCUGCUUUGUGUGGCCUCUACCUCCCCAUGGUGGACUUUCCAGUUUGGGAGUCCUCUGCGUAAACCCUGGAGGAAUAAUCCUUCCCCUAUCCCCAGUGCUCUUCCAUUCUCUAAUUUUAUUUCCCAGCUGGUGUUGGAAACUACCAGACAUCAGAAGUUAGUAUGUAUCAGUGCAUGUGGCAACAUGGUAUGUGUAUGACCCAUGUCCCAAUAACAUGAGCAUGGUUAUAUGUUCCAAGAUGAAACAGCCAGGGGUACUAGUCAGCACUACCACAUUUAACAAUUUCUUCCCCUACCAGUACCACACAUAUCCCCAAAUAGGUCUUUGCCUCAUCAUACACACACCCAGUCCUGCAAAGGGGGAAAGAAUAGCACCAUGAGAGCCUACUUAGCCUUGCACACUAGUUACAGAUGUGUCAUCUUUUGGCUGUAUCAGAAAAAUCCCUCAACUGCAAAAUACCUCAGACUAACAUUUGGCAGCUCCUGUGGUUUUGCAAUGUGUGAAACUCCUAGGUUUAAUAGUUAGCUUUGCAGCAGGUGAGCAUGUAUUUUUGUGGAGGGCGAAGGAAGGGGUUUUCCUCUGACUUUUUAUGGGGGUAUAAUCUUUGCACACAUAUUUCUUUUACCUGUUUUUAAAACGCACAGAAAAUAAAAGCAGAAACAAAACAAAAAAUUACCGUAUAACCAAUCACAGCCUUUGUCAAGGACGAGGGAACUAAUCAAGUCCAGAUUAGUGGGUGUACAUGCUCAAAUGUACAUGCCGUUGUUUCUACUGAGUUAGCAAAAAUCUGAUCAAUAUCAAGAGACAAUUAUUCCCUAAGUUUGCCACCUAUGUAAACCCACUGGAAUAAAUGGGGUUGCAUGGGUGUAACAGAGGGCUAAAUUUGGCCCCAAAUAUCAACGUGGCUGCGGCUUUGUAUAGCAUUGAUUGACCUAGAAUCAUGUUAAAGUGACUUGUCAGAGCUUCAGUCCCGACUGAAGCGACUCUGCAGAAGCUGUAUUUACAUAAGAGUGUGGGUGGCCUGAAUUGUCAUGAUGUGUUUAAAUAUCUGGCACUUAAUCACAGCUGUCCGCUUAUUUGCACUUUUGCUGCCGGGCAGUGGGACAAACUUGGAAUUAGCCAGAAUAAAACGUAUUAACAAGUUAACAGGGGUUCUAGGGUUGGCAGACCUUUUGUUUGCACAAACACACACGCACAGACUUCUAGUGAAGUUUGCAACUUUUUAAGGACCAGUCUGCACUUUUUUUUUCCCAAUAGUGUUUCCUGACGUAGUUUUAACACAUGUCAAGCUUAAAGGGGUGGUAGUUUUUGUUUUUACAUUUAGUUAUAACUUUACAACACUUACAAAAUUAUACAUUUUACAUGAAAAAACACCCUGCUCUUACCAGUCUCUAGAAUGCAGUAUAUGUAUGAAAAAAAAAUUAGAGGGGAAAAAACCCCAAACAGGCUCAGCUUAAGAGAACCAUUAUUCAAUUAUUCUUCAGUCAAGCCAAAACCCAUCAUCCUCCCCAUACGGAGAUCUCAAGUAAGCAUACAACCAAAAAUAAUUACAAGCAAAGCUCUUCAUAUACCUAAGGUAGUUAUAUGCCCCCAUUACAGUAGUAUCAAAGCACCUCACAAUCUUUCAAAUAUUUUUCCUCACAACACCCUCUAGGAGGUAGCAAAGCGCUAUUAUCUCCAUUUUACAGAUGGGAUAAGAGAGACUAAGUUAUUUGCUCAAGGUCACACAAGCAGCCUGUAGCAAAGCAGGAAGCUGAACCUUGCUCUCCUAAGUCUCAGGCUAGCAUCCUAACCACUACACCACUCUCCCUCUCUAUCAGUAGUGAAUGCUGAUAAACAGUAAAAUACACUACAGUUAUGAUUUAAUAACUGCAGCCAAAGCCACACACUACUCACGAGGGGGAAUUUUCCAGAGAAACUCAGACCUGGGCUACACUACAAAGUUAGGCUGACAUAAGCUGCCUUGCAUCUACCUGUUGUGCAUAUGGCAACACUUAAAUUUGUCUCCCACUGAUGUAAGCGCCCCGUUAUGGUGACAUGGUCGCACCACCUCCCCAAGCAGCACUGAGACUUGGUAAAUGUGCUGAGGCGGACGCAGCGUGAGUGUAUACACUGCGUUAUCUAUCUCGACCCUAACAGUCCUCCAGCAGCUGUUCUACACUGCCCGAUACUGACAGCUCUUGUCACACUGCCCAGGGGUCACGGAGACCAGAAGACACACCCCCCAUAAUUUUUGAAAUGCCUUUUUGUGAUUGUCCAGUUUGGCAAGCAUACCUAGCAGCUCUCCAUUGUUGUGUGCAACUGCCCAACCAGCCAUGCUGGCUACAUGCUCCAGAAGCACUCUGGGUUGGAGUAGGCUGGAGAUAUUGGAUCUCCGGGGCCUGUGGGGAGAAGAGACUAUGCAGGCACAGCUACAGACCAGCUGUAGAAACAUGGACAUCUACGAGCAGAUUGUAUGGGGGAUGCAGGAGAAGGGGACAACAGAGACCUGCAGCAGUGCCCCAUGAAAGCAAAGGAACUGCGGCAGGCAUAUCAGAAGGCCAGGGAGGUAAACCAUCAAUCCAGUGCUAAGAUGCAGGCUGGCCACUUUUCUAAAGAGCUGCAUGCCAUACUCAGCAGAUACCUCACCAGCACUCUGUAGAGCACGGAGGAUACUUCCGAGGAGCGCGAGUCACAGGCCCCUGGCAUAAACAGCAAGGUCAAGGAGGUAUGAGGAGGAGGAUGGGGGACGUACAGCUGGUGGGUUCAGCUAUGCCACCAACUCCACCACAGUCUAGUCCGUCCUGGCAGUCGAGCAAGGGCGAGCCCGACGCAGGGGAAGGAACCUCGGGUAAGUGUGUAAUUGUAUUUACCAUUACAGUACUGAUGUUGCCCCCAACUUAACAGGACAGAGCUAUCGACUUAUCAUUAAUUUACUCAUACUAGAAGAGGUAGCAGUACAGCAAAGAGAGGUAGAGUUGUGAUCUGCUUUUGAUUCUUCUGGAGAAUUAGGUGGGUUAUGAGGCGCAGUCUGUUUAUGUACACACGGAUAUCCCUUGAAUCCUCCUGAGAGAUCUCAAUGAAACUUUCAUGGAGGUACAGUACUCUGCAAUCCUCUCCUGAAGGUUUCUAGCCAUGGCAGCCUUAUUCCUUCCUCCGCGGCAGGACACUUUCCCAUGCCAGUCAGUGAUAAUUUCGACAGGCAUCACCCCAGUACGCAGUCUUUGUUACCCUCAGGGGUGAGAUAGCUAAAAUCACCACUGCCUGCAGAAAAUGGUGCCAGUGUUCAGUGCCAUUGCCCUAUACUCAGAGUUUUAUGUAGCUGAGCAAUUCCCUCCAUGUUUCCUUCACCCCUGGCAGGCCAUACUCACCAUUGCUGGUACUGUGCGUGGCACUGUGCACAAGCACUCUGAAGUAGAAGUGUCAAUAAGCAUGUCUUGUUUAAAACUUUACAGGAGCAAGGGACGGGAAUUCUGAGUCUCAACUUUCACUUUCCAUUGUGACUAUACUGACUAUGGCACUUCUGUGUGUUUUAUUUGCAGCUGCUGCCAUUGCAGCCUUGAGGGGCCCCCUUUCCACACCCACGGAUCACCUGAGCCAGAAGAAAGCAGAGGACUUGGGAUGACAUGUUCAAUGAAAUCCUGCAAUCCAGUGCUGCAUCAGACCAUGAACAGGGAGCCUAGAGCAGGGGUGGGCAAACUACGGCCCGCGGGCUGGAUUCGGCCCGCGAGCUGUUUUAAGACAGCCUGCGAGCUCCUGCUGGGGAGCAGGAUCUGGGGCUUGCCCCACUCCAGUGCUGCAGCCAGGGCACCAGGUCAGAGGCUGCACCACGCAGCUCCCGGAAGCCACAGCAUGGCCCUGCUCUAGGGUGCAGGGUCGGGGGCCAUUCCAUGCAUAGGAGCCAGAGAAAGGACAUGCCACUGCUUCCAGGAGCCCGUUGAGGUAAGCGCCGCUUGGAUCCUGCACCCCUUAGCCUCUCCCCACGCCCCAACUGCCUGCCCCAGCCCUGAUCCCCCUCCCACUCUCCAAACCCCUCAAUCCCGGCACGGAGCACCCUCCUGCACCCCAAACCUCUCAUCCCCAGCCCCACCACAGAGCCCACAUCCCCAGCCGGAACCUGCAUCCCUUCCUGCACCCCUGCCCCAGCCCCAGCCCUGAUCCCCCUCCUGCCCUCUGAAUCCCUCAGUCCCAGCCCAGAGCACCCUCCUACACCCCAAACUCCUCAUCCCCAGCCCCACGCCAGAGCCUGCACCCCCAACCAGAGCCCUCGCCCCUUCCCGCACCCCAACCCCAAUUUUGUGAGCAUUCAUGGCCUGCCAUACAAUUUCUAUUCCCCGAUGUGGCCCUCGGGUCACAAAGUUUGCCCACUCCUGGCCUAGAGGGUGAACACUGCAGACAGCCUGGAGAAGGAAAGAACAGACAGGAGAAAGGCUCAGGAGACCCAGAAGAAAGAGGAGAGGGAGAUACACCAGGGCAUAAUGGGGCUUCUCUGGCAGCAAGCACAGAUGCUGCAGCCUCUUGUGGAUCUACAUGUUCAACAGUCACAGGCUCGCCUCCCUUUGCAGUCCAUGGAGAACAGCAUUACGGCGCCUCUCUUCACCCCCCUUCAACAUUCCAUGUAGCAUCAGGGGCUGCAUCCCUACCCCUACCACCCUACUCCUAGGGACAACUACAGCUUCAUAUGCACUGACCUGUGAAAGCCACAGUUGCUGUAUGAGUAACUAAAAUGGACAUGAAUGUUCUGCCCCCUUGUUAAGAUCUGUUCCAUUAAUUUAUUAAGGUUUUAACGUAUUUGCUUUUACAUUGCACAGAUUUUUCUUUGCACUGGUUUUGUUACUGAAUAAAAUUCCAUUAUUUGGGAAAUAAUUCAUCUUGAUUAGUUCGCCACAUAGGCUGCAGAGUGCCUAGCAGUGCUGAAAGCACCCACUUACUUGUUGCUGUACAGUGUGACACAACUUACAGGAUCAGUGACAAACAGUGUAAUAAUAAUAAUAAAUUUACAGCAAGCACCACAAAAUUAAUAGGUGCAUGGACAGUGUUAUGUUCAUCCAUGUACACACAAUUCUUAACAGGCCCCAAAACAGCAGGGCCAGGUAGAGCACAGUACACAAUGCAUUACCGUGGCUCACUGCUAACCUCUUCUGUCAAUGCCUCCCUGAGCCUAUUCCUCCUCACUGAGUUUUUCAUUGUUCAAACUCAGCCAACACCCACUCCACCCCCAUCCCAGCGGAAAUUCUCCCCCUUCUGCUACACAGAUAUUGCGCAGGACACAGCAGGCAGCUAUAACUAUUGGGAUUUUUUUUUCAGAGAGCACCAAUCCUGUGAGUAAACAAUGUCAGCAUCUUUUCAACCUACCAAAAGCGCAUUCAACAGUCACUCUGCACCAACUGAGCCAAUAACUGAAUCUUUCCUUGGUGCUGUCAAGGUGGCCAGUGUACGGCUCCAUGAGCCGGGGAGCAAGGGGUAGGCUGGCUCUCCCAAAAUCACUAUUGACA
Molecule: long non-coding RNA, 10247 nt
Organism: Malaclemys terrapin pileata
Lineage: Eukaryota; Metazoa; Chordata; Testudines; Emydidae
Exons: 3
Source: RefSeq, a predicted model, not a curated record